CCCCAAGUGACUCAGAUCAAUAACAACUGCAGGAUUGAAUAUAUUAUGCGAAAGUUCACUGAGUGGAUGCCAAAGGAGUUGGCAGUUGUGAAGAAAGAUCUGGUUUUCUCUCAGAUCUUUAAGCUCCAUAAGAAUGGUCUUGGGUUCUCCGCGAGAGUGGUACACAGCUUCUUGUGUAGGGAGCUGGUGACUUACAAAUUGCACGAGCUUUGGUUCAUCUUUGCGAGGAGACCACUCCGAUUUUCAUUACAAGAAUUCCACGCAGUAACCGGGUUUGAGUGCAAUACUCAUAUCUCUCUUAAGGAGUUCGAAGAGUGGAAAUAUGACGGUGGUUUCUGGAGCAAUGUGUUGAGGAGAAAAGAUGGAACAGUUACACUCUUCAACCUGUGGAAUAAGGACAAGGAAGCUGUUAAGAAGUGGAAGAAUGCAGAUCGCAUACGACUGAUCUAUCUGGCCAUCAUUCUUUGUGUGGUUUUAGCGAGAGAUGAGAAGGCUAAUAUCCCCCUCAAAUACAUCAAGGUGGUCAUGGAUCUUGAGAAGGUUCGAAAGUAUCCUUGGGGAGUUGCUGCUUAUGACCUUCUCUACAACUCAAUAACCAAAACUCGUGACAACCUGAAGGAUAAAACUACUAGUUAUGUGUUGGAUGGAUUCUCGUACGCCUUCCAGAUUUGGGCAAUGGAAGCUGUACCAAAGAUUGGGAAGCUUUGUGGAAAAAAACUUGACAAAGGUUUCACGAACGGUCCUAGAUGCAUAAACUGGAUGGGAGCUGGAAAGGUGUCAUAUGAGGAGAUCAUUCGGUUGGAGCAAAUACUGACACCUGAGGUAAUCUCUUAUCUUUAUGUAAGUUGAGUCCAUCUGGUUUCUAUGAGUUUUAUAGGAUCUAACUCUAUGUACCUUUCUUGUGUAGGAUCUAUGCAUAUAUCGACUGGAGAGGAAAUUAUGAUGUAGUCCAAUCUGAUGCUUUUCGCACAGAUGAUGAUGUGAACGAUGAUAGAGUCAAGAACCUGAUGGAGUUGAUAAGAACAUGGUGGUACACAGCUUCUUGUGUAGGGAGCUGGUGACUUACAAAUUCCAUGAGUUUGGGUUCGUCUUUGCGAGGAGACCACUCCGAUUUUCAUUACAAGAAUUCCAUGCAGUAACCGGGUUUGAGUGCAAUACUCAUAUCUCUCUUAAGGAGUUCGAAGAGUGGAAAUAUGACGGUGGUUUCUGGAGCAAUGUGUUGAGGAGAAAAGAUGGAACAAUUACACUCUUCAACCUGUGGAAUAAGGACAAGGAAGCUGUUAAGAAGUGGAAGAAUGCAGAUCGCAUACGACUGAUCUAUCUGGCCAUCAUUCUUUGUGUGGUUUUAGCGAGAGAUGAGAAGGCUAAUAU
Molecule: long non-coding RNA, 1371 nt
Filed under: Brassica napus (rape)
Lineage: Eukaryota; Viridiplantae; Streptophyta; Magnoliopsida; Brassicales; Brassicaceae
Description: long non-coding RNA (BNAP_LNC024097)
Source: RNAcentral